This 460-nucleotide long non-coding RNA is filed under the name Neodiprion pinetum (white pine sawfly). RNAcentral's name for it is "uncharacterized LOC124213105". The record is from RNAcentral. Lineage: Eukaryota; Metazoa; Arthropoda; Insecta; Hymenoptera; Diprionidae.
UGAAACGAAUCGUUGAAGAGCUACCCACGAUGUAGAGAUUUAUCAAAUUCACAUUCCAGCUACAGACCCCGACUGAUAUGUGGUCUCUGAAAUCUCUCUGGACGCCGAAAAUUUAUCAUACGCUCAAACUUUUACCCAACAUAUAUGAGGUGAGGUACUGCCGUGGAUUUUUUUACCCCCGGACUACCAACGUGAAUCGACGAAAAUAAAUCGAUUUUGAAACAUGAUCUGAAAGUUGAAAGUUCAGCGGGUUCUGGUUUCGUUGUGGUGAGGAACGUCGAAAAGAAAACGGCGGUUGUUGGAGUUGAGAGUCCGACCAUACCUAUAUUGAACUUCAGAGUGGCCGUUGCAGUGUUGGAAUGGCUAGGUUCAACUCGACCGAAUAGAAUUUCAGUCUAUGAAUAAAACCGAUGCGAUAGACACGUAAAAACUCUCAAUCUGUCGAACUGUCAAUUGGAAG